Salmo salar (Atlantic salmon) is the source of this 483-nucleotide non-coding RNA. The record is from RefSeq and is a predicted model, not a curated record. NCBI's taxonomy places the organism in Eukaryota, Metazoa, Chordata, Actinopteri, Salmoniformes, Salmonidae.
ACUCCUGGUUCUCUGCUGCGUGUUGAGGUUUAUGUUACAGUGGCCAGGAGUAAGAGUUUUGCGUGGUAAGGAACUGGAAGCGUUCCUUGCCCAAGCACUUUCUCCUAAACUCUAUGAGCCUGAACAGCUGCAGGAACUCAAGAUUGAUAGCCUGGACCCUCGCGGCGUGCAGCUGGCCGCUCUGUUCAUGAGCGGCGUGGACAUGGCCUUAUUGGCCAAUCGACGUGUGUGGCCAGCCAAUCCCCCUGGGAGCACUGCUGUCCAUGGAUGUACUCGAUGGCAAACUGCUGCAGAGCAAACUGAUCCAGGCCAUUCGGGACAAGGCCCCGCUCAUCGACCUCUGUGAUGGUCAGGUGGAUCAGGUGAACAAGGUGAAGAAAAUGCGGCAGAGCAUCCUGGAGGGGCUUAACUUCUCCCCGCCUCCUCCCCCCACCCCCACGCCAUGCCUUUCUACCCCCCCAGGGGAGCCUUCUACCCCCCCCG